Molecule: unclassified non-coding RNA, 227 nt
Filed under: Hevea brasiliensis (rubber tree)
Lineage: Eukaryota; Viridiplantae; Streptophyta; Magnoliopsida; Malpighiales; Euphorbiaceae
Source: RNAcentral
GUGGCUCAAGAAGAAGAAGAAAAGAAGCAUGAAGAACAAAUGGAAUGAAAGAUUGCACAAUACAAAUGUUGAUGCAUACCACAAGGUUAAUAUGGUGGCAAAUGAAGUUGGAGGCAGCAUGAAUCAUCCAGACAUAGCAUUUUUUGAUUUUAAUACAAUACUUACAGCGACUAACAAUUUCUCUCCAGCUAAUAAGCUGGGACAAGGUGGUUUUGGCUUGGUUUACA